UCAGCGUCAGGAGGCAGGAAGCGGGGGUUCCACCAGCGGACCGGUCUAACUCGGUCGCCAACCGAUGCGCUGGGCCAAUGGCGAGACCGACCUGACCGUGC
This 101-nucleotide non-coding RNA is filed under the name unclassified sequences. Its description in RNAcentral is "c-di-GMP sequence". It matches the Rfam family "c-di-GMP-II-GAG riboswitch aptamer". The record is from Rfam by way of RNAcentral.